This 72-nucleotide transfer RNA is filed under the name Marmota monax (woodchuck). RNAcentral's name for it is "tRNA.Ala". It matches the Rfam family "tRNA". Rfam says of the family: Transfer RNA (tRNA) molecules are approximately 80 nucleotides in length. Their secondary structure includes four short double-helical elements and three loops (D, anti-codon, and T loops). Further hydrogen bonds mediate the characteristic L-shaped molecular structure. tRNAs have two regions of fundamental functional importance: the anti-codon, which is responsible for specific mRNA codon recognition, and the 3' end, to which the tRNAs corresponding amino acid is attached (by aminoacyl-tRNA synthetases). tRNAs cope with the degeneracy of the genetic code in two manners: having more than one tRNA (with a specific anti-codon) for a particular amino acid; and 'wobble' base-pairing, i.e. permitting non-standard base-pairing at the 3rd anti-codon position. The record is from RNAcentral. Lineage: Eukaryota; Metazoa; Chordata; Mammalia; Rodentia; Sciuridae.
GGGGUUGUGGCUCAAUUGGUAGAGUGCUCACCUAGCAUGUGUGAGGCACUGUGUUCGAUCCUCAGCACCACA